This 322-nucleotide ribosomal RNA is filed under the name Foraminifera environmental sample. Its description in RNAcentral is "SSU rRNA". It matches the Rfam family "Eukaryotic small subunit ribosomal RNA", at positions 1176 to 1427 of the family's 1831-position model. The record is from RNAcentral. Lineage: Eukaryota; Foraminifera.
GUGGAGCAUGUGGCUUAAUUUGACCCAACGCGGGAAAUCUUACCGGGUCCGGACACACUGAGGAUUGACAGGCAGUUUUGAUAAGUUUUCGCUUCGGCGUGCUUAUCUCAUGAAAGAUGCUAGUCCUUUCAUGAUUAUGUGAUAGGUGGUGCAUGGCCGUUCUUAGUUCGUGGAGUGAUCUGUCUGCUUAAUUGCGUUUCAUUAAGAGCCUAUUUUUACGUAUGCUGCAGGCGCUUUGACCCCACACCAUUUUUGGUUGUGCGUUGUCUUAGUUUUGCUUUUUGCACAUACCUUUAGGCUCUGAAAGCAACGAACGUGACCG